RNAcentral lists this long non-coding RNA (331 nucleotides) under Ricinus communis (castor bean). Its description in RNAcentral is "long non-coding RNA (RCOM_LNC000689)". Lineage: Eukaryota; Viridiplantae; Streptophyta; Magnoliopsida; Malpighiales; Euphorbiaceae. The record is from RNAcentral.
AACAGACCACCGACUUUAAUGUGUGGUGACUUGCACAUGACAAUGACCUAAUCACCAUACUCAACAAAAUAGGGUCUCUCUUUAUUCUUUUCAGUCUUUGGCCAGCAGCAUUGGCACCUAACAACAACAGUUUUUAAUUGUUAAUAAAAGAUGGCACCCAAAAUUAAAAAAAAGAACAAAAUUAAAGUGAUCGGCUCCACACCUCAUCAUCACCUAUUUCAUUUCCCCUUUGCCUUUAUAAAGAACCCAAAUCCUCAUUUCAUCCUCCCCUUUCUCUCUUCUUCUUCUUCUUCUUCUUCUUCUUCCCUCUUCUGUUUAUUCUUCUUUUUCU